GAGACACCACACACACACGGCACAAGAUGGCCGGAGAGGCAGCAGCACCGCGAGCUGUCAGGCGUUUCGCCGCGGCCGCGGGGCCCGCCGGCUGGCGGGGACUCGCGCCCGGGCGGCCCGCAGGUCCGCGGGAGCGAAGCGGUCGCGGCUGGGGCGAGGCGGGCCGCGCGCCGGGGUCGGAGCCCGCGGCAGAGGCGCCCGGGGCGGCCGGGCCCACGACGCGGAAAGCGCCGCUGCGGCAGCGGCCGCGGAGGCUCCCCGGGGCCCGGGCGGCUCGACCCGGUACGGGCGGAAGGCUCGGGCGGGCGGCCGGCGCGGGACUCGGGUGCGGGCGACCAGGAGGUGCUGACCGCGGCGCUCGGACCUGGUUCUCCGACGGGGGAGCUUUUUAACCCCUUUCCGGUGAGGUGGGGACUCAUCUUCGUUUUCGAAUUUAAAAGAACAAUGGAAUCCUGACUACGUUUCAACAAAAAUAAAACUUGUUUUUUUUUUUUCUUUUGGGUGUUGGCUUUUAACUCUUUCAAAGCCGAUUUUGAAAACGGCUGCAGUGUUGCAGAUGAGAAGGUAACUUACAAGAUUAAAAUUAAAUUUGGUUGAUGAUGGUUCUGAACAAAUACAGCUCUUAUUUGAGGUAUGCCAUUUUGAAGACUGAGACCGUGGAAUUUUAUCCUUGAGGAUAAAGGAAAUCUUUGCGAUAGUCUGUGUUUUAUAUAGCAAAAAUACGAAUCCUGAGGCUGAAUUAUCUAAGGGGCCAGUACAACGAAAUAGAUGUUGGUGGAAGAAUUUACACCCAGUCAGCUUGAAGAGUCUCAAAUGGACCCUACCACUGAGAAAUCAAGAUGGCAGUCCACUAUGGGGAAUUGAGAAAAAUGGAUUAAUACAAGAGUGCUGUGAUAAUAUACAACCAAGACAGGGUUCUUUUAACAUGGAUUUCAUGAAAUGAAUGAAGAUAUAGGUUUCUUACCAGCACAAAUGGACAGUGAAUUUGACUUUCUAGAGACUUUGUAUCAUUAAGAACAUUUUUGACAUUUGGAGAAGAAAGAUGGCACAUUAACAGAUGAUAGUUUGUAUGCCUGGAAUUUUUUGCAGUUUGAUUUGUAUGAGUAUGAUCUUGUGGAAUGUUAACUUUAAUAAAAUUUCUAACACUUUAAAAUUU
Balaenoptera musculus (blue whale) is the source of this 1156-nucleotide long non-coding RNA. RefSeq lists it as uncharacterized. The record is from RefSeq and is a predicted model, not a curated record. The transcript is spliced from 6 exons. NCBI's taxonomy places the organism in Eukaryota, Metazoa, Chordata, Mammalia, Artiodactyla, Balaenopteridae.